UACGAAGGGGGGCUAGCGUUGCUCGGAAUCACUGGGCGUAAAGGGUGCGUAGGCGGGUCUUUAAGUCAGGGGUGAAAUCCUGGAGCUCAACUCCAGAACUGCCUUUGAUACUGAGGAUCUUGAGUUCGGGAGAGGUGAGUGGAACUGCGAGUGUAGAGGUGAAAUUCGUAGAUAUUCGCAAGAACACCAGUGGCGAAGGCGGCUCACUGGCCCGAUACUGACGCUGAGGCACGAAGGCCAGGGGAGCAAACGGGGAUUAGAAUGACC
Molecule: ribosomal RNA, 267 nt
Filed under: uncultured bacterium
Lineage: Bacteria
Description: partial 16S ribosomal RNA
Rfam family: Bacterial small subunit ribosomal RNA
Source: RNAcentral